RNAcentral lists this long non-coding RNA (239 nucleotides) under Medicago truncatula (barrel medic). Its description in RNAcentral is "lncRNA gene37850". Lineage: Eukaryota; Viridiplantae; Streptophyta; Magnoliopsida; Fabales; Fabaceae. The record is from RNAcentral.
GUGUUUAGAGUUUAGUCGGCUCUGAUCUAGGCUUCGUUGUGUCGGUCUAGAUUAUCUUUUACUUUGGAUUUUGUUAUGAUUGGAGAUUACCCGUAUGUUGGGAUUUUUGAGAUUCAUCUAUGUUGAUGUAAUAAUUGAUUCAUGACAUGUAUAUUUGGAUUACUCUGGUUUAUACUCCGCUGCGACUGUUGAAGUUUAUAUACAUGUUUAUGGUUUUGAAUUUUUGUCUGAUGGCGUAG